This 282-nucleotide long non-coding RNA is filed under the name Nicotiana benthamiana. RNAcentral describes it as "long non-coding RNA (NBEN_LNC023104)". The record is from RNAcentral. Lineage: Eukaryota; Viridiplantae; Streptophyta; Magnoliopsida; Solanales; Solanaceae.
UUUUCUUCCAAACGUAGGAUCCACCCUUCCAAGGUACUAUUACUGGAUUUAAUUUCUUACAAUACUUUUGACACAUAAAUGCACUCCAAAUUUUCUUCCAAACGUGGGAUCCACCCUUCCAAGGUACUAUUACUGGAUUUAAUCUCUUACAAUACUUUUGACACAUAAAUGCACUCCAUAGACUGGGUUUUGUUCUAAAAUUCCACCACAAUUUGCAAAAAAGUGCCUUGGAUACAUCAUGAAGUGAUCUGAAACCUAUACCCCCUUCCUCAUAAGGCAUAC